Molecule: ribosomal RNA, 465 nt
Filed under: uncultured bacterium
Lineage: Bacteria
Description: partial 16S ribosomal RNA
Rfam family: Bacterial small subunit ribosomal RNA
Source: RNAcentral
GACGAACGCUGGCGGCGUGCUUAACACAUGCAAGUCGAACGCUGAACCCGCUUCGGUGGGGGAUGAGUGGCGAACGGGUGAGUAACACGUGGGCAACCUGCCCCCGGCUCUGGGAUAACUCCAAGAAAUUGGGGCUAAUACCGGAUGUGACCGCUGGCCGCAUGGGCUGGUGGUGGAAAGGGUUUCCGGCGGGGGAUGGGCCCGCGGCCUAUCAGCGUGUUGGUGGGGUAGUGGCCUACCAAGGCGACGACGGGUAGCCGGCCUGAGAGGGUGACCGGCCACACUGGGCCUGAGACACGGCCCAGACUCCUACGGGAGGCAGCAGUGGGGAAUAUUGCGCAAUGGGCGGAAGCCUGACGCAGCGACGCCGCGUGGGGGAUGACGGCCUUCGGGUUGUAACCCUCUUUCAGCAGGGACGAAGCGCAAGUGACGGUACCUGCAGAAGAAGCACCGGCCAACUACGUG